Molecule: ribosomal RNA, 708 nt
Filed under: Rhodotorula sphaerocarpa
Lineage: Eukaryota; Fungi; Basidiomycota; Microbotryomycetes; Sporidiobolales; Sporidiobolaceae
Description: eukaryotic LSU rRNA
Rfam family: Eukaryotic large subunit ribosomal RNA
Source: RNAcentral
UAGCGGCGAGCGAAGCGGGAAGAGCUCAAAUUUAUAAUCUGGCACCUUCGGUGUCCGAGUUGUAAUCUCUAGAAGUGUUUUCCGCGUUGGACCGCGCAUAAGUCUGUUGGAAUACAGCGGCACAGUGGUGAGACCCCCGUAUGUGGUGCGGAUGCCCAGCGCUUUGUGAUACACUUUCGAAGAGUCGAGUUGUUUGGGAAUGCAGCUCAAAUUGGGUGGUAAAUUCCAUCUAAAGCUAAAUAUUGGCGAGAGACCGAUAGCGAACAAGUACCGUGAGGGAAAGAUGAAAAGCACUUUGGAAAGAGAGUUAACAGUACGUGAAAUUGUUGGAAGGGAAACGCUUGAAGUCAGACUUGCUUGCCGGGCAACCGGUUUGCAGGCCAGCAUCAGUUUUCCGGGGUGGAUAAUGGUAGAGAGAAGGUAGCAGUUUCGGCUGUGUUAUAGCUCUCUACUGGAUACACCUUGGGGGACUGAGGAACGCAGUGUGCCUUACGGCGGAGGUUUCGACCUCUUCACACUUAGGAUGCUGGUGGAAUGGCUUUAAACGACCCGUCUUGAAACACGGACCAAGGAGUCUAACAUGCUUGCGAGUAUUUGGGUGUCAAACCCGGAUGCGUAAUGAAAGUGAAUGGAGGUGGGAACCGCAAGGUGCACCAUCGACCGAUCUGGAUUUUUAAUGAUGGAUUUGAGUAAGAGCACGUAUGUUGG